CUGCUCAGUAACACGUGGACAACCUACCCUAUGGAGGGGGAUAACCCCGGGAAACUGGGGAUAAUACCCCAUAGACUAUAGAUGCUGGAAUGCUGAAUGUUGUAGUUGAAAGGUCCGCCGCCAUAGGAUGGGUCUGCGGCCGAUUAGGUUGUUGUUGGGGUAACGGCCCAACAAGCCUGUAAUCGGUACGGGUUGUGGGAGCAAGAGCCCGGAGAUGGAUUCUGAGACACGAAUCCAGGCCCUACGGGGCGCAGCAGGCGCGAAAACUUUACAAUGCGGGAAACCGUGAUAAGGGAACUCCGAGUGCCCGUAAAAUCGGGCUGUCCAUCAGUUUAAAUAACUGGUGAAGAAAGGGCCGGGCAAGACCGGUGCCAGCCGCCGCGGUAAUACCGGCGGCUCGAGUGGUGGCCACUAUUACCGGGCUUAAAGCGUUCGUAGCUGGUCUGUUAAGUCUCUGGGGAAAUCUACUGGCUUAACCAAUAGGCGUCUCAGGGAUACUGGCAGACUAGGGACCGGGAGAGGUGAGAGGUACUCCAGGGGUAGGAGUGAAAUCCUGUAAUCCUUGGGGGACCACCUGUGGCGAAGGGCGUCUCACCAGAACGGCUCCGACAGUGAGGGACGAAAGCUGGGGGAGCAAACCGGAUUAGAUACCCCGGGUAGUCCCAGCUGGUAAACGAUGCGCGUUAGGUGUAUCGGUGACCACGAGUCACCGAGGUGCCGAAGAGAAAUCGUGAAACGUGCCGCCUGGGAAGUACGGUCGCAAGGCUGAAACUUAAAGGAAUUGGCGGGGGAGCACCACAACAGGUGGAGCCUGCGGUUUAAUCGGACUCAACGCCGGAAAUCUCACCGGAUAAGACAGCUGGAUGAUAGUCGGGCUGAAGACUCUACUUGACUAGCUGAGAGGAGGUGCAUGGCCGUCGUCAGUUCGUACUGUGAAGCAUCCUGUUAAGUCAGGCAACGAGCGAGACCCGUGCCAA
This 977-nucleotide ribosomal RNA is filed under the name uncultured archaeon. RNAcentral's name for it is "bacterial SSU rRNA". It matches the Rfam family "Archaeal small subunit ribosomal RNA", at positions 86 to 1060 of the family's 1478-position model. The record is from RNAcentral.